AUUUGGGGUCGUUCUGACAUAAAGUGGUUUGGUUUCAGUGCCCUCCCGAUCGCAGUUGCGAAGGAUCGAACCGUGAUCCUCCCUAUCAAGUUCAGCGUCAAUCACCACUUGGAUUUCACCAUGCAAUAUGCAAAGAGAUGUAUAAGCAAGCAUAUAUGCCACAGUUUUGAGGAUCGCUCUUUUCCGUGAAGUCGCAUCCUUCAGAUGAAAGCUUGGAGCCAGCAGGAUCAGAUUGACCAAUCUGUUCAGAUUGCAUGAGUUCAAUUUUAAGUGUCUCCUUCUACAUGGAAUCUUCAAACAUGUAUGAGAACAAUGGUGACUAUGUUGAUAUAGAAGUUUUUCUAUUUUUCCUUUAACUCUUUCACCGUAUAUUUCUUUGUAUAUCAUUUUAAGUUCAUAAUCUCAUGUGUUGUUUUUUUUUUCCUCUCAGUUGCAAUGGUGCUCAAUUCUAAAGCCACACAUCUACCAUGAAUUUCAUAUUAGAGCUGCGAACAUACCGUUUGGAGUUUGAUGUUAAUAGUGUUAAGUAUCCA
This 533-nucleotide long non-coding RNA is filed under the name Trifolium pratense (red clover). RNAcentral's name for it is "long non-coding RNA (TPRA_LNC001067)". The record is from RNAcentral. Lineage: Eukaryota; Viridiplantae; Streptophyta; Magnoliopsida; Fabales; Fabaceae.